UACACAUUCACUCAAACAUACACACACACACACACGCACACACAUACACUCAAACAUACAUACAUACACACACACACAUUCACUCAAACAUACACACACACACACACUCUCUCUCUCUCAACUUACAAAACACAACAUACAAGCACAUAAUAUCUCAUGUCCCUCAAUGGACAUGUAAAGGCUCCCUCUCUCACCUGUAGCUCACGCCACAUUCAUGCUCACCACAUGCAUGUGUACGCACGCACACACACACACUGGUAAUGCAUACACACAGUACACUUCACAUACUUUUGUGUGCGCACAGCACACACACCUUAGAAGAAUGAUUGCUUUUUGAAGUACAAAUGAUGUGUUGUGCAUAGAAGCAUCAGACACAUGCUUUUCUGGCAUGUAUUUUGUAUCAUAGGACGGUUCUGGUUGAACUUAAAUCAAUGAUGUGCAAGCAAUGCUUAAAGCAUUGAUGGAAAAAAAGAUAUAAACGUUUUAUCAUUUGAAAUUGCAUAUAUAUAUAUAUAUAUAUAUAUAUAUAUAUAUAUAUUUUAAUUUCAGGUUUUGGGAAAAAAAAAAAAAAAAACGCUAUUGCGUGCCAGUCUUAGUUAAGACCCUGAAAGUGUAAUACCAGAUGCCUAAACCGUAUUGCCAGAUGUUUUCAUAGACAUUACUCUGAAGUACAAUAGUUCUUUAUGCUUUAUGCACCAAUAAUACACAGUAUAACAAACUACAAUACAAAAAAAACAAUGCGUACCAAACAAUAUUAAUGAUUGGCUGGUUUUCAUCAAUAUUACAGUCUAUGGAAACUCUGAACACUAAUGCUUUCUGUAAAUGAAGUGUAAAUAUUAAGAGCUAUAUCAAGGGCUAUUGUCUAACAUGAUUUCUCUGAAGACUUAUCUGUGUGUAUGUGUGUUCUGUAUGUAUGUAUGUAUG
This is a long non-coding RNA of Alosa sapidissima (American shad), 924 nucleotides long. RefSeq lists it as uncharacterized. The transcript has 3 exons. NCBI's taxonomy places the organism in Eukaryota, Metazoa, Chordata, Actinopteri, Clupeiformes, Clupeidae. The record is from RefSeq and is a predicted model, not a curated record.